GACGAACGCUGGCGGCGCGCUUAACACAUGCAAGUCGAACGGAAAGGCCUGCUUUCCCUUGUGGAUUGCGGGUACUCGAGUGGCGAACGGGUGAGUAACACGUGAGUGAUCUGCCCCCAACUUGGGUAUAAGCCUGGGAAACUGGGUCUAAUUCCCGAUAGGACUGCAGGGUGGUGCCUGUGGUGGAAAACGAUUUUCUAGUGGUUGGGGAUGAGCUCGCGGCCUAUCAGCUUGUUGGUGGGGUAAUGGCCUACCAAGGCGGCGACGGGUAGCCGGCCUGAGAGGGUGGGCGGCCACAUUGGGACUGAGAUACGGCCCAGACUCCUACGGGAGGCAGCAGUGGGGAAUAUUGCACAAUGGGCGGAAGCCUGAUGCAGCGACGCCGCGUGGGGGAUGACGGCCUUCGGGUUGUAAACUCCUUUCGACCGCGAGGAAGCCACCUGGUUGGAAGGGUGGUGACGGUAGUGGUAGAAGAAGCACCGGCUAACUACGU
Molecule: ribosomal RNA, 493 nt
Filed under: uncultured bacterium
Lineage: Bacteria
Description: partial 16S ribosomal RNA
Rfam family: Bacterial small subunit ribosomal RNA
Source: RNAcentral